GAUGAAGAACGUAGCGAAAUGCGAUACUUGGUGUGAAUUGCAGAAUCCCGUGAACCAUCGAGUCUUUGAACGCAAGUUGCGCCCGAAGCCAUUAGGCCGAGGGCACGCCUGCCUGGGCGUCACACGUCGUUGCCCCCCCAUCUACUCCUUCGGGAUUGCGGGGGGCGGAUGAUGGCCUCCCGUGCGCCUCGCCGCGCGGUUGGCAUAAAUGCCAAGUCCUCGGCGACGCACGCCACGACAAUCGGUGGUUGCGAAACCUCGGUUGCCCGUCGUGUGCGGUCGUCGCGCAUCGAGGGCUCGAAAAAAUUGCCGGGUUCCGGCUCGGCUUUCAACGCGACCCCAGGUCAGGCGGGGUUACCCGCUGAAUUCAAGCAUAUCAAUAAGCGGAGGA
RNAcentral lists this unclassified non-coding RNA (391 nucleotides) under soil metagenome. RNAcentral's name for it is "partial contains 5.8S ribosomal RNA, internal transcribed spacer 2, and large subunit ribosomal RNA". The stretch from base 1 to 122 matches the Rfam family "5.8S ribosomal RNA", at positions 35 to 154 of the family's 154-position model. The record is from RNAcentral.